This 300-nucleotide ribosomal RNA is filed under the name uncultured bacterium. Its description in RNAcentral is "bacterial SSU rRNA". It matches the Rfam family "Bacterial small subunit ribosomal RNA", at positions 775 to 1067 of the family's 1533-position model. The record is from RNAcentral.
GGAUUAGAUACCCUGGUAGUCCACGCCGUAAACGAUGUGCACUAGGUCCUGGAGCUUUUGACGGCAUCGGGGCCGAAGGAAAACUAUUAAGUGCACCGCCUGGGGAGUACGGUCGCAAGGCUAAAACUCAAAGGAAUUGACGGGGGCUCACACAAGCGGUGGAGCAUGUGGCUUAAUUCGAAACAACGCGAAGAACCUUAUCCUGGGUUUGACAUGUAUGGAUUAACUCUGGGAAACCAGAGCCACGCCUUUUAGGUGGAACAUACACAGGUGCUGCAUGGCUGUCGUCAGCUCGUCCGC